RNAcentral lists this ribosomal RNA (499 nucleotides) under uncultured bacterium. RNAcentral's name for it is "bacterial SSU rRNA". It matches the Rfam family "Bacterial small subunit ribosomal RNA", at positions 791 to 1288 of the family's 1533-position model. The record is from RNAcentral.
UAGUCCACGCGGUAAACGAUGAGCACUAGUUAUAAGAGGUAUUGACUCCUUUUGUAACGCAGCUAACGCAUUAAGUGCUCCGCCUGGGGAGUACGGUCGCAAGACUAAAACUCAAAGGAAUUGACGGGGGCCCGCACAAGCGGUGGAUCAUGUGGUUUAAUUCGAAGCAACGCGAAAAACCUUACCUGGGCUUGAAAUCCUACGAAUCUUCUAGAGAUAGAAGAGUGCUCCUUGGAGAAUGUAGUGACAGGUGCUGCAUGGCUGUCGUCAGCUCGUGUUGUGAAAUGUUGGGUUAAGUCUCGCAACGAGCGCAACCCCUAUUGUUAGUUGCCAGCAUUAAGUUGGGCACUCUAGCAAGACUGCCAGGGUUAACCUGGAGGAAGGUGGGGAUGACGUCAAGUCCUCAUGGCCCUUAUGUCCAGGGCUACACACGUGAUACAAUGGUGCAUACAAUGGGACGCUAAGCCGCGAGGUGGAGCUAAUCUCAAAAAGUGCAUCU